GACACGGUGACGUUGGGAUGGGUGGCCUUGCACGGAAUAUCCAGCGGAAUUCCUUGCACCGAAACAAAUUCCGUUUCGAUUUCCGUCUGGAUGAUUACGAGUUUUCUAACAUCUGACCACACAGACGUAUUGUUCGAUUUUAGUUCCUUGUUGAGUGGCGCAACUAAAAGCGCCCGAGUCCGACGGAAUGGCCUUGAGUAAAUUCAUCGUCGAUCUCAGGUACUGAACGAAUUUGGAAUGAAAUGUUGUAAUUAUUUUACUUCAGGGUGCAAAUCAGUGUUAGAUUGGAAUUUGAUUUGACCACCUGUUCCGUCCCAGCCGGAAUCAUCUGUAGCGACUCCGCAUCCGAAUGGACGACCAGCAGCAAGACAAAAGUCAAUCCCUUGAGGAACAUUUCCAACUCAGAAUCGACCGGAGAUACUUGUAGAGCAAAUCAACUCUAAAUAACAGUAGACUUAACGUCACCUGACUGCUAAAAACUAUAGUGAAUGCACUGAUUUUACACUGGCUGAGUUUGAAAUAACAAAAAGACCUUUAUAUAAUAUUUUAACCAUAGGUUUACAUGUGCACCGCGGGAAGUGGUUAGCGAUGAUGUGUUUUGUCGGUGCGGGUUGAUUUCAUUGACGGUGGCUGAUCGCCUCACGAGGUUAACCAGUCCGGGGAAUGGGUUCUGUCACCGGAGUGUUCCGUCGUUCAUGUAUUAGAGUUGCCGUGUCGUUAUUUCCAGCCCAGCGGUUCAUCGAAUCAUCGUAUACCUUGUAAAAAUAUCGGACUUGAACGCUGGACUCGUGCCCGAAUUUCUCCUAAACUUCUUUCGGGCGAU
Long non-coding RNA from Daphnia pulex (common water flea), 823 nucleotides. RefSeq lists it as uncharacterized. The record is from RefSeq and is a predicted model, not a curated record. The transcript has 6 exons. NCBI's taxonomy places the organism in Eukaryota, Metazoa, Arthropoda, Branchiopoda, Diplostraca, Daphniidae.